This 439-nucleotide ribosomal RNA is filed under the name uncultured Polaribacter sp. RNAcentral describes it as "bacterial SSU rRNA". It matches the Rfam family "Bacterial small subunit ribosomal RNA", at positions 60 to 496 of the family's 1533-position model. The record is from RNAcentral. Lineage: Bacteria; Pseudomonadati; Bacteroidota; Flavobacteriia; Flavobacteriales; Flavobacteriaceae.
AGUCGAGGGGUAACAGGGAGCUUGCUCCGCUGACGACCGGCGCACGGGUGCGUAACGCGUAUAGAACCUACCUUUUACAGAGGGAUAGCCUUUAGAAAUGAAGAUUAAUACCUUAUGGUAUUGUAGACUGGCAUCAGUUUAUAAUUAAAGAUUUAUCGGUAAAAGAUGGCUAUGCGUCCUAUUAGUUAGUUGGUAAGGUAACGGCUUACCAAGACAGCGAUAGGUAGGGGUCCUGAGAGGGAGAUCCCCCACACUGGUACUGAGACACGGACCAGACUCCUACGGGAGGCAGCAGUGAGGAAUAUUGGACAAUGGAGGAGACUCUGAUCCAGCCAUGCCGCGUGUAGGAAGAAUGCCCUAUGGGUUGUAAACUACUUUUAUACAGGAAGAAACACUGGUAUGUAUACCAGCUUGACGGUACUGUAAGAAUAAGGACCGG